Molecule: ribosomal RNA, 256 nt
Filed under: uncultured bacterium
Lineage: Bacteria
Description: partial 16S ribosomal RNA
Rfam family: Bacterial small subunit ribosomal RNA
Source: RNAcentral
UCUUUUCUUUGCUGGCGACCGGCGCACGGGUGAGUAACACGUAUCCAACCUGCCCUUUACUCGGGGAUAGCCUUUCGAAAGAAAGAUUAAUACCCGAUAGCAUAAUGAUUCCGCAUGGUUUCAUUAUUAAAGGAUUCCGGUAAAGGAUGGGGAUGCGUUCCAUUAGGUUGUUGGUGAGGUAACGGCUCACCAAGCCUUCGAUGGAUAGGGGUUCUGAGAGGAAGGUCCCCCACAUUGGAACUGAGACACGGUCCAA